RNAcentral lists this ribosomal RNA (393 nucleotides) under uncultured bacterium. Its description in RNAcentral is "partial 16S ribosomal RNA". It matches the Rfam family "Bacterial small subunit ribosomal RNA", at positions 523 to 918 of the family's 1533-position model. The record is from RNAcentral.
AUACGGAGGAUCCGAGCGUUAUCCGGAUUUAUUGGGUUUAAAGGGAGCGUAGGCGGACGCUUAAGUCAGUUGUGAAAGUUUGCGGCUCAACCGUAAAAUUGCAGUUGAUACUGGGUGUCUUGAGUACAGUAGAGGCAGGCGGAAUUCGUGGUGUAGCGGUGAAAUGCUUAGAUAUCACGAAGAACUCCGAUUGCGAAGGCAGCUUGCUGGAAUGUAACUGACGCUGAUGCUCGAAAGUGUGGGUAUCAAACAGGAUUAGAUACCCUGGUAGUCCACACAGUAAACGAUGAAUACUCGCUGUUUGCGAUAUACAGUAAGCGGCCAAGCGAAAGCGUUAAGUAUUCCACCUGGGGAGUACGCCGGCAACGGUGAAACUCAAAUGAAUUGACGGGG